UUCUUUAUCACCGAGUGCUUGCACUCACCGAUAAAGAGCUGAUUGGCGAACGGGUGAGUAACACGUGGGCAACCUGCCCAAAAGAGGGGGAUAACACUUGGAAACAGGUGCUAAUACCGCAUAACCAUAGUUACCGCAUGGUAACUAUGUAAAAGGUGGCUAUGCUACCGCUUUUGGAUGGGCCCGCGGCGCAUUAGCUAGUUGGUGGGGUAAAGGCUUACCAAGGCAAUGAUGCGUAGCCGAACUGAGAGGUUGAUCGGCCACAUUGGGACUGAGACACGGCCCAAACUCCUACGGGAGGCAGCAGUAGGGAAUCUUCCACAAUGGGCGAAAGCCUGAUGGAGCAACGCCGCGUGGGUGAAGAAGGUCUUCGGAUCGUAAAACCCUGUUGUUAGAGAAGAAAGUGCGUGAGAGUAACUGUUCACGUUUCGACGGUAUCUAACCAGAAAGCCACGGCUAACUACGUGCCAGCAGCCGCGGUAACACGUAGGUGGCAAGCGUUAUCCGGAUUUAUUGGGCGUAAAGGGAACGCAGGCGGUCUUUUAAGUCUGAUGUGAAAGCCUUCGGCUUAACCGGAGUAGUGCAUUGGAAACUGGGAGACUUGAGUGCAGAAGAGGAGAGUGGAACUCCAUGUGUAGCGGUGAAAUGCGUAGAUAUAUGGAAGAACACCAGUGGCGAAAGCGGCUCUCUGGUCUGUAACUGACGCUGAGGUUCGAAAGCGUGGGUAGCAAACAG
RNAcentral lists this ribosomal RNA (735 nucleotides) under uncultured bacterium. Its description in RNAcentral is "bacterial SSU rRNA". It matches the Rfam family "Bacterial small subunit ribosomal RNA", at positions 71 to 775 of the family's 1533-position model. The record is from RNAcentral.